RNAcentral lists this long non-coding RNA (576 nucleotides) under Rhinopithecus bieti (black snub-nosed monkey). RNAcentral describes it as "lncRNA (ENSRBIG00000046264.1)". The record is from RNAcentral. Lineage: Eukaryota; Metazoa; Chordata; Mammalia; Primates; Cercopithecidae.
GGUGUGUCUAGGUCUCUCGACAUUCCUACUAGAGGUAUUGAUCAUGAUCUCACAUUAUAUACUUGGAAGAAGUUUGUGCUUGUCUUGAAUUUGCAUUACUGACAUCUUCACGUCCAGGUGAGAAUUGGCACAGAACCUCUAUAGAUGCACAGCACCGAGAUUCUUUCAGUGACUGUUAAUAUUUAGCAAUUUGAGGGCUUCCAAGGGCUAGUAGUUUCAAUAAGCACUUUUUUUUUUUUUGCAAUUAGUUUAUUUGUAUCUUAUAUUGCAGACAGAUUCCACCAACGGGGAGAAUCCAAGCAUCAAGAAAUCCCUCUUUCCUCUUUUUAAUUCAAAGAAUCAUUUAAAGCAUAGUUCUUCUUUGAAAAAGCUUCCUGUAGUCACUCCACCCAUGGUUCCCAAUUCCGACAGCCCUGAUCUUCUAACGUUGCAGAAAUCCAUUCAUUCUGCUAGCACUCCAAGCAGCAGACCAAAGGAGUGGCGCCCCGAGAAGAUCUCAGAUCUACAGACCCAAGUGAGUGGAUCCUGCACCGUUCCUAGACUCUCCAACUCUGCAGUAACUGUCCUGAGGAGCCG